GCGANNUGCGAUACUUAGUGUGAAUUGCAGAAUUCCGCGAAUCAUCGAGUUUUUGAACGCAUAUUGCGCCCGAGGUUCACGCCGAGGGCACGUCUGUCUGAGCGUCA
RNAcentral lists this ribosomal RNA (107 nucleotides) under Riccia gangetica. RNAcentral describes it as "partial 5.8S ribosomal RNA". It matches the Rfam family "5.8S ribosomal RNA", at positions 48 to 154 of the family's 154-position model. From Rfam's summary of the family: 5.8S ribosomal RNA (5.8S rRNA) is a component of the large subunit of the eukaryotic ribosome. It is transcribed by RNA polymerase I as part of the 45S precursor that also contains 18S and 28S rRNA. The record is from RNAcentral. Lineage: Eukaryota; Viridiplantae; Streptophyta; Marchantiopsida; Marchantiales; Ricciaceae.